RNAcentral lists this transfer RNA (42 nucleotides) under Okanagodes terlingua. Its description in RNAcentral is "partial tRNA-Leu". Lineage: Eukaryota; Metazoa; Arthropoda; Insecta; Hemiptera; Cicadidae. The record is from RNAcentral.
CAAUGAACUUAAGAUUCAUAUAUAAAUUUUUUUUUGUUAGAA